CUACGGGUGGCAGCAGUGGGGAAUAUUGGACAAUGGGCGCAAGCCUGAUCCAGCAAUGCCGCGUGAGUGAAGACGGCCUUAGGGUUGUAAAACUCUUUCGCUAGGGAAGAUAAUGACUGUACCUAGUAAAGAAGUCCCGGCUAACUCCGUGCCAGCAGCCGCGGUAAUACGGAGGGGACUAGCGUUGUUCGGAAUUACUGGGCGUAAAGAGUUCGUAGGCGGACUGACAAGUUAGAGGUGAAAUCCCAGGGCUCAACCCUGGAACUGCCUUUAAACUGUCAGUCUAGAGACCGGAAGAGGUUAGGGGAAUACCUGGUGUAGAGGUGAAAUUCGUAGAUAUUAGGUGGAACACCAGUGGCGAAGGCGCCUAACUGGUCCGGUACUGACGCUGAGGAACGAAAGCGUGGGGAGCAAACAGGAUUAGAUACCCCGGUAGUC
This 438-nucleotide ribosomal RNA is filed under the name uncultured bacterium. Its description in RNAcentral is "partial 16S ribosomal RNA". It matches the Rfam family "Bacterial small subunit ribosomal RNA", at positions 339 to 795 of the family's 1533-position model. The record is from RNAcentral.